AUUGAACGCUGGCGGCAUGCUUUACACAUGCAAGUCGAACGGUAACAGGCCUUCGGGUGCUGACGAGUGGCGAACGGGUGAGUAAUGCAUCGGAACGUACCCAGAGGCGGGGGAUAACGCAGCGAAAGCUGUGCUAAUACCGCAUGUGAUCUGAGGAUGAAAGCGGGGGACCGAGCAGCAAUGUUUGGCCUCGCGCCUUUGGAGCGGCCGAUGUCGGAUUAGCUAGUUGGUGGGGUAAAGGCCUACCAAGGCGACGAUCCGUAGCUGGUCUGAGAGGACGACCAGCCACACUGGGACUGAGACACGGCCCAGACUCCUACGGGAGGCAGCAGUGGGGAAUUUUGGACAAUGGGCGCAAGCCUGAUCCAGCAAUGCCGCGUGCGGGAAGAAGGCCUUCGGGUUGUAAACCGCUUUUGGCAGGAACGAAACGGUGUCCGCUAAUACCGGGCGCUAAUGACGGUACCUGCAGAAUAAGCACCAGCUAACUACGUG
RNAcentral lists this ribosomal RNA (492 nucleotides) under uncultured bacterium. RNAcentral describes it as "partial 16S ribosomal RNA". It matches the Rfam family "Bacterial small subunit ribosomal RNA", at positions 29 to 507 of the family's 1533-position model. The record is from RNAcentral.